Molecule: ribosomal RNA, 447 nt
Filed under: uncultured bacterium
Lineage: Bacteria
Description: bacterial SSU rRNA
Rfam family: Bacterial small subunit ribosomal RNA
Source: RNAcentral
AUGGCUACAGAACGAACGCUGGCGGCAAGGCUUAACACAUGCAAGUCGAACGGGUGUAGCAAUACAUCAGUGGCAGACGGGUGAGUAACACGUGGGAACCUUCCUAGAGGUACGGAACAACUCAGGGAAACUUGAGCUAAUACCGUAUACGCUCUUGCGAGGAAAGAUUUAUCGCCUUUAGACGGGCCCGCGUCGGAUUAGCUAGCUGGUGGGGUAAACGGCCUACCAAGGCGACGAUCCGUAGCUGAUCUGAGAGGAUGAUCAGCCACACUGGGACUGAGACACGGCCCAGACUCCUACGGGAGGCAGCAGUGGGGAAUCUUGGACAAUGGGCGCAAGCCUGAUCCAGCCAUGCCGCGUGAGUGAAGAAGACCUUCGGGUUGUAAAGCUCUUUUGCCAGGGACGAUAAUGACGGUACCUGGAGAAUAAGCCCCGGCAAACUUCGUG